Molecule: ribosomal RNA, 460 nt
Filed under: uncultured bacterium
Lineage: Bacteria
Description: partial 16S ribosomal RNA
Rfam family: Bacterial small subunit ribosomal RNA
Source: RNAcentral
CCUACGGGGGGCAGCAGUGAGGAAUAUUGGUCAAUGGACGAGAGUCUGAACCAGCCAAGCAGCGUGAAGGAUGACUGCCCUAUGGGUUGUAAACUUCUUUUAUAUGGGAAUAAAAUGUUCCACGUGUGGGAUUUUGUAUGUACCAUAUGAAUAAGGAUCGGCUAACUCCGUGCCAGCAGCCGCGGUAAUACGGAGGAUCCGAGCGUUAUCCGGAUUUAUUGGGUUUAAAGGGAGCGUAGGUGGAUUGUUAAGUCAGUUGUGAAAGUUUGCGGCUCAACCGUAAAAUUGCAGUUGAAACUGGCAGUCUUGAGUACAGUAGAGGUGAGCGGAAUUCGUGGUGUAGCGGUGAAAUGCUUAGAUAUCACGAAGAACUCCGAUUGCGAAGGCAGUUCACUGGACUGCAACUGACACUGAGGCUCGAAAGUGUGGGUAUCAAACAGGAUUAGAUACCCCAGUAGUC